UCAGGCUACAACUGACGUGGCGUGAGAAGAGAUUGCAACAAUAGCAAAUUGGGUUGGAUUUUAAAGAAGAAGAAAAAGGUGACCAUUGAAAAUUUUUAUUUUUUUGGGGGAUAUUUAUGUACGAUUAUAACAGCCGGGGCUUUCGAAGGGAUAUAUUCGUGAUGGCACAAUUGACAUUUUACUUAUUUACUGUUGAAAAAAAUAAAUAGUUCUCCAACAGUAACAAAUAAGAGGAAAAAAUAUAAAUAUCACUAUACUUUUAUAAGAAUAAUAUAAAAAAGUUAAAAUUUGUAUGGAUAUAUUUGUAAUUCACUAUAUUUAUAAAGAAUUGUAUGUAAUUAAUCCUAAAUUAUAAAUAAUAUGCAUAC
This 368-nucleotide long non-coding RNA is filed under the name Ananas comosus (pineapple). RNAcentral's name for it is "long non-coding RNA (ACOM_LNC026021)". Lineage: Eukaryota; Viridiplantae; Streptophyta; Magnoliopsida; Poales; Bromeliaceae. The record is from RNAcentral.